UACGUGAGGUCCGAGCGUUGUCCGGAGUUACUGGGCGUAAAGGGCGCGCAGGUGGCGGUGUUGGCCCGGCGUGAAAGCCCCCGGCUCAACCGGGGAGGGUCGUCGGGGACCGCACCGCUUGAGGGCGGUAGGGGCUGGUGGAAUGCCUGGUGUAGUGGGUGAAAUGCGUAGAGAUCAGGCGGAACACCCGUAGCGAAGGCGGCCAGCUGGGCCGUCCCUGACACUGAGGCGCGAAGGCGUGGGGAGCGAACGGG
This 254-nucleotide ribosomal RNA is filed under the name uncultured bacterium. RNAcentral describes it as "partial 16S ribosomal RNA". It matches the Rfam family "Bacterial small subunit ribosomal RNA", at positions 524 to 776 of the family's 1533-position model. The record is from RNAcentral.